ACUUUCUUAGUAUAAAAAGUACAUGUGACUUCCAAUCACUCAGCCUUAGUUAAAUCCUAGGAGAAAGUA
This 69-nucleotide transfer RNA is filed under the name Pipa carvalhoi (Carvalho's Surinam toad). Its description in RNAcentral is "tRNA-Gly". It matches the Rfam family "tRNA". Rfam says of the family: Transfer RNA (tRNA) molecules are approximately 80 nucleotides in length. Their secondary structure includes four short double-helical elements and three loops (D, anti-codon, and T loops). Lineage: Eukaryota; Metazoa; Chordata; Amphibia; Anura; Pipidae. The record is from RNAcentral.